AGAGAGUGAGGAUUUCCGGUGGCAGGCUCAAGGCUGCGUACCCAAGGCUAGGGGCUAGGAGAAAGGGGUCAGAGGCUGGCGCUGGGUUGGGGGGCCAGACGCUGGGUUUAGAGGGCCGCAGCUGAGAGUGUGAGAGCUGAGAGGUUGGGGCUGCAGGGAUGGAGUUGCUGGAGGUCUUCAGGGUGAGGUUGGGAGGUGAGGGGAGGAAGAGACUGGGCGAUUGGGAAGGGACAGAAAAGUAGGGAUGGGGGAGGAGGUACGUGCUGAGAGGUGACAGCCCGGCAGUACCGGGCAGACUGGGGGCCCUAGAGCUAAGGCUGGUAGCCAGCCUGAAAGAGAGGGGAUGGAUCGGGAACCAGGAAAAGUAAGGAAAUGCUGCUCGAAAAGGCAGAGUGUAGGAGAGACCUGCCCGGUACACAGCGGCGUGGACUCCCAGGAAGACCAGGACCAGGACCGGAUUGCGGCGUUCGCUCUCCGCGCGCCUCCAGCCUCCCCGUGCGUCGCAUGCUGGCACCCCCGCCCACCGCGCCAGCUGCAGGUCAGACUCUUCAUCCUCCGUCAGCUCCGCACUGGCCACCUUAGCUGCGGAGCCCAG
This 595-nucleotide long non-coding RNA is filed under the name Homo sapiens (human). RNAcentral describes it as "non-protein coding lnc-TEX11-32:2". Lineage: Eukaryota; Metazoa; Chordata; Mammalia; Primates; Hominidae. The record is from RNAcentral.